GACGAACGCUGGCGGCGUGCUUAACACAUGCAAGUCGAACGGAAAGGCCCCGCUUUUGUGGGGUUCUCGAGUGGCGAACGGGUGAGUAACACGUGAGUAACCUGCCCUUGACUUUGGGAUAACUUCAGGAAACUCGGGCUACUACCGGCUCGGAGCUCCUGCUGCAUGGUGGGGGUUGGAAUGUUUCGGCGGUUGGGGAUGGACUCGCGGCUUAUCAGCUUGUUGGUGGGGUAGUGGCUUACCAAGGCUUUGACGGGUGGCCGGCCUGAGAGGGUGACCGGCCACAUUGGGACUGAGAGACGGCCCAGACUCCUACGGGGGGCAGCAGGGGGGAAUAUGGCACAAUGGGCGGAAGCCUGAUGCAGCAACGCCGCGUGCGGGAUGACGGCCUUCGGGUUGGAAACCGCUUUCGCCUGUGACGAAGCGUGAGUGACGGUAAUGGGUAAAGAAGCACCGGCUAACUACGUG
Molecule: ribosomal RNA, 468 nt
Filed under: uncultured bacterium
Lineage: Bacteria
Description: partial 16S ribosomal RNA
Rfam family: Bacterial small subunit ribosomal RNA
Source: RNAcentral